CCCCCCUUCGAAGAAGAGGGGGUAUAUUGCUUUGCACAUGUCGGUCGGUCUGUCGGUCGGUCGGUCGGUCCACCAGGUGGUUUCCGGAUGAUAACUCAAGAACGCUUAGGCCUAGGAUCAUGAAACUUCAUAGGUACAUUGAUCAUGACUCGCAGAUGACCCCUAUUGAUUUUGAGGUCACUAGGUCAAAGGUAAAGGUCACUGUGACCCGAAAUAGUAAAAUGGUUUCCGGAUGAUAAUUCAAGAACGCUUAUGCCUAGGAUCAUGAAACUUGACAGGUAGAUUGAUCAUGACUAGCAGAUGACCCCUAUUGAUUUUCAGGUCACUAGGUCAAAGGUCAAGGUCACGGUGACCCGAAAUAGUAAAAUGGUUUCCGGAUGAUAACUCUAGAACGCUUAUGCCUAGGAUCAUGAAACUUGAUAGGUACAUUGAUCAUGACUGGCAGAUGACCCCUACAGAUAUUCAGGUCACUAGGUCAAAGGUCAAGGUCACAGUGAC
Long non-coding RNA from Dreissena polymorpha, 498 nucleotides. RefSeq lists it as uncharacterized. Lineage: Eukaryota; Metazoa; Mollusca; Bivalvia; Myida; Dreissenidae. The transcript is spliced from 2 exons. The record is from RefSeq and is a predicted model, not a curated record.